GACGAACGCUGGCGGCACGCUUAACACAUGCAAGUCGAACGAGAGAAGAGAAGCUUGCUUUUCUGAUCUAGUGGCGGACGGGUGAGUAACACGUGAGCAAUCUGCCUUUCAGAGGGGGAUACCGAUUGGAAACGAUCGUUAAUACCGCAUAACAUAAUUGAACCGCAUGAUUUGAUUAUCAAAGAUUUAUCGCUGAAAGAUGAGCUCGCGUCUGAUUAGCUAGUUGGUAAGGUAACGGCUUACCAAGGCGACGAUCAGUAGCCGGACUGAGAGGUUGAUCGGCCACAUUGGGACUGAGACACGGCCCAGACUCCUACGGGAGGCAGCAGUGGGGAAUAUUGCACAAUGGAGGAAACUCUGAUGCAGCGAUGCCGCGUGAGGGAAGAAGGUUUUAGGAUUGUAAACCUCUGUCUUCAGGGACGAAAAAAGACGGUACCUGAGGAGGAAGCUCCGGCUAACUACGUG
RNAcentral lists this ribosomal RNA (465 nucleotides) under uncultured bacterium. Its description in RNAcentral is "partial 16S ribosomal RNA". It matches the Rfam family "Bacterial small subunit ribosomal RNA", at positions 28 to 507 of the family's 1533-position model. The record is from RNAcentral. RNAcentral also lists the same sequence under 1 other name.